GCGCGGCAUUGGAUUGAUUAUGUUUAGUUUGAUAGCAAUAACUUAAAUUUGAAGAUAAUUAGAAUGUCUAAGUUUGAAGAUAAUUAGAUAAUUGAAGAUAAAUAAUGUCUACGCUUGUAGAUAAAUAAUAUCUAAGUUUGAUCUUAGAAUAUCUUUACCUCAUAUAACUUGAAAACCACUUGUGAUAUUUUUGAAAAGUACUUGAGAUUAAAGAGCAUACAAACUGUAAAAAUGUUGAUUUGUUGAUAAAAGAUUUAACUAAAGUUAGUAAAAGGUGUAGUAAAAGAAAAAUGGAUUUAAUACUGUUUUGCCUCUGAAUUUUAUCCUGAUUAUCGAAGUUCAAACUCCUUACAGAAUAAUCCAUAAUAUGAUUAAUCAUUUGCAUAGCUGGUUGGAGUAAUACAGAAAAAACAAUUGGUGAAAAUCAGUUUAAAGAAAAAGAAAAAUCAAUAAAGAAUACAAACAAUAUUUCUUUAAAUUACCAAAGCUUUACAAAAUUGUUGUUUACCAAUCAAAUUCUUCGCCUCUCAAAUGUCUAUAUAUCCGAUCAAGCUUUUCAGCUCUAUCGUUUCCUAACCUAUUUCUUAACUUGCUCCACACAAUACCAAAAGUAGAAAACACUCUUUCUAUGGAGCCAGUGCUUGCAGGACAACUAUGAAGAGAUUGAAAAAACUUUGCAAACCCUUCUGGUAGUGGUAAAGACUUUUAAUGCAGCUUUUGCUUCAUAUCUAUUAUACCCCACCAUCUUUCACUUGAAAUUGUAGCAAUAAAGUUAUCGUUAAACAUGUGCUGUGAAAAGGUAGUUGUGACUUUUAGCCUGAAAUCAUAGUAACCAGCCAAGUAUUUAUUGUGCCUAUCACUUAGCCAAGCUUCUGCAGCAGCUUCUUGUUCAAUGCUUAAAGAUUUUCCUAAAAUUAAAGAAUACUAUUUUUUUGUUUUAUAUUUUAUAAAUGAGAAAUAAAUAUCCUAUAUGAA
Molecule: non-coding RNA, 975 nt
Organism: Hydra vulgaris (swiftwater hydra)
Lineage: Eukaryota; Metazoa; Cnidaria; Hydrozoa; Anthoathecata; Hydridae
Source: RefSeq, a predicted model, not a curated record